Molecule: ribosomal RNA, 583 nt
Filed under: uncultured Pezizomycotina
Lineage: Eukaryota; Fungi; Ascomycota
Description: eukaryotic LSU rRNA
Rfam family: 5.8S ribosomal RNA (bases 222-375)
Source: RNAcentral
UCUUGGUCAUUUAGAGGAAGUAAAAGUCGUAACAAGGUUUCCGUAGGUGAACCUGCGGAAGGAUCAUUAAAAAUGAAGCCGGGAAACCGGUCCUUCUCACCCUUGAUUAUCUUAAUUUGUUGCUUUGGUGGGCCGCGCAAGCACCGGCUUCGGCUGGAUCGUGCCCGCCAGAGGACCACAACUCUGUAUUACAUGUCGUCUGAGUACUAUAAAAUAGUUAAAACUUUCAACAACGGAUCUCUUGGUUCUGGCAUCGAUGAAGAACGCAGCGAAAUGCGAUAAGUAAUGUGAAUUGCAGAAUUCAGUGAAUCAUCGAAUCUUUGAACGCACAUUGCGCCCUCUGGUAUUCCGGAGGGCAUGCCUGUUCGAGCGUCAUAAUGACCAACUCACCCCCGUGGUGGACUUGGAGCUGGCCUAUUUGGCCUCUCUUAAAAUCAGUGGCGGUGCUCUUAAGCUCUACGCGUAGUAAUUUUCUCGCGACAGGGUCUCGAUUGUACUUGCCAACAACCCCAACUAUUAUAAGGUUGACCUCGGAUCAGGUAGGGAUACCCGCUGAACUUAAGCAUAUCAAUAAGCGGAGGAA